RNAcentral lists this transfer RNA (34 nucleotides) under Helobdella nununununojensis. RNAcentral describes it as "partial tRNA-Leu". Lineage: Eukaryota; Metazoa; Annelida; Clitellata; Rhynchobdellida; Glossiphoniidae. The record is from RNAcentral.
UUAAACCCUAAAUAUGAUUAAAAUUCUCAUAUUA